UAGAACAAUGUUGAAGAGUCAGGAAAGAAA
RNAcentral lists this non-coding RNA (30 nucleotides) under Rattus norvegicus (Norway rat). Lineage: Eukaryota; Metazoa; Chordata; Mammalia; Rodentia; Muridae. The record is from RNAcentral.